AAAUAAUCUGAUACAUUGUGAUGUUGUACAUUUCCUUUCCUUUAGGUCGCAUCUAAGAAUGACAAUAAUGGAACAUAUGACACCAUCAACAUCGUUUCUUCUACUCCAAGCACAAAUGAGCAGAAAGAUGAUGUGGUUUAUUCUGAGGUGACCGUUGGCAGUAAAAAACAACUGAAGAACAACAUUGUUCAGUCUGCUGGUGAUGUGACUUAUGCCGUCAUCAAAGGAGGAAAAACUGAACCUGAAGACGCCUGCAGAGAGCUUUAAUCCUGCCUGAACAAAACCACUCGCAAAUAAAACACAUCAUUUUACAAAUAAACCCACCCCACCCCACUCCACAACAACAUAAACACAAAAUAUGUUUCAGUCUGUCAGUGACUUAUAUUUCCUUUGACAAACAAACUCAAGUGCUGAUGUGAUUUAUGUGAUACAUAUUGGUCGGCUAUAAAAUGUUUGUCUGUUUGUUUACUAUUUGAUGUUAUUGUUCAUAUGUUAUUGAAUCCUAACAUGUCUGAGGAAUUUUCAUAGGUCUUAUUAAUACUGUGCAUGAUCAAAUUGGGGAAGUGUAAUGGAAAAUGAUUUCUUAGUUUGACUUUU
Long non-coding RNA from Triplophysa dalaica, 597 nucleotides. RefSeq lists it as uncharacterized. The record is from RefSeq and is a predicted model, not a curated record. NCBI's taxonomy places the organism in Eukaryota, Metazoa, Chordata, Actinopteri, Cypriniformes, Nemacheilidae. The transcript is spliced from 3 exons.